UGCCAGCCGCCGCGGUAAUACGGAGGGGGUUAGCGUUGUUCGGAAUUACUGGGCGUAAAGCGCGCGUAGGCGGCUAUUUAAGUCAGAUGUGAAAGUCCACGGCUCAACCGUGGAAGUGCAUUUGAAACUGGAUGGCUUGAGUACUGGAGGGGGUGGUGGAAUUCCCGGUGUAGAGGUGAAAUUCGUAGAUAUCGGGAGGAAUACCGGUGGCGAAGGCGGCUCACUGGACCGAUACUGACGCUGAGGAGCGAAAGCGUGGGGAGCAAACAGGAUUAGAUA
This 279-nucleotide ribosomal RNA is filed under the name uncultured bacterium. RNAcentral describes it as "partial 16S ribosomal RNA". It matches the Rfam family "Bacterial small subunit ribosomal RNA", at positions 506 to 784 of the family's 1533-position model. The record is from RNAcentral.